Molecule: ribosomal RNA, 253 nt
Filed under: uncultured prokaryote
Description: partial 16S ribosomal RNA
Rfam family: Bacterial small subunit ribosomal RNA
Source: RNAcentral
UACGUAGGUGGCAAGCGUUGUUCGGAAUUACUGGGCGUAAAGCGCACGUAGGCGGCUUUGUAAGUUAGAGGUGAAAGCCUGGAGCUCAACUCCAGAAUUGCCUUUAAGACUGCAUCGCUUGAAUCCAGGAGAGGUGAGUGGAAUUCCGAGUGUAGAGGUGAAAUUCGUAGAUAUUCGCAAGAACACCAGUGGCGAAGGCGGCUCACUGGCCCGGUACUGACGCUGAGGUGCGAAAGCGUGGGGAGCAAACAGG